AGGGCUAAGAAAAAUGAAGCUGGAUCACCAA
RNAcentral lists this non-coding RNA (31 nucleotides) under Macaca fascicularis (crab-eating macaque). The record is from RNAcentral. RNAcentral also lists the same sequence under 1 other name. Lineage: Eukaryota; Metazoa; Chordata; Mammalia; Primates; Cercopithecidae.